UGGGGAAUAUUGCACAAUGGGGGAAACCCUGAUGCAGCAACGCCGCGUGAGUGAAGAAGUAUCUCGGUAUGUAAAGCUCUAUCAGCAGGAAAGAAAAUGACGGUACCUGACUAAGAAGCCCCGGCUAACUACGUGCCAGCAGCCGCGGUAAUACGUAGGGGGCAAGCGUUAUCCGGAUUUACUGGGUGUAAAGGGAGCGUAGACGGUUUUGCAAGUCAGAUGUGAAAGCCCGGGGCUCAACCCCGGGACUGCAUUUGAAACUGUGAAGCUGGAGUGUCGGAGAGGUAAGUGGAAUUCCUAGUGUAGCGGUGAAAUGCGUAGAUAUUAGGAAGAACACCAGUGGCGAAGGCGGCUUACUGGACGAUUACUGACGCUGAGGCUCGAAAGCGUGGGGAGCAAACAGGAUUAGAUACCCUGGUAGU
This 422-nucleotide ribosomal RNA is filed under the name uncultured Lachnospiraceae bacterium. Its description in RNAcentral is "bacterial SSU rRNA". It matches the Rfam family "Bacterial small subunit ribosomal RNA", at positions 355 to 794 of the family's 1533-position model. Lineage: Bacteria; Bacillati; Bacillota; Clostridia; Lachnospirales; Lachnospiraceae. The record is from RNAcentral.